CCUACGGGAGGCUGCAGUGAGGAAUAUUGGUCAAUGGACGAGAGUCUGAACCAGCCAAGUAGCGUGAAGGAUGACUGCCCUAUGGGUUGUAAACUUCUUUUAUAAAGGAAUAAAACGAGGCACGUGUGCCUUUUUGCAUGUACUUUAUGAAUAAGGAACGGCUAACUCCGUGCCAGCAGCCGCGGUAAUACGGAGGAUCCGCGCGUUAUCCGGAUUUAUUGGGUUUAAAGGGAGCGUAGAUGGGUUGUUAAGUCAGUUGUGAAAGGUUGCGGCUCAACCAUAAAAUUGCAAUUGAUACUGGCAGUCUUGAGUACAGUUGAGGUAGGCGGAAUUCGUGGUGUAGCGGUGAAAUGCUUAGAUAUCACGAAGAACCCCGAUUGCGAAGGCAGCUUACUAAACUGUGACUGACAUUGAUGCUCGAAAGUGUGGGUAUCAAACAGGAUUAGAUACCCCAGUAGUC
RNAcentral lists this ribosomal RNA (460 nucleotides) under uncultured bacterium. Its description in RNAcentral is "partial 16S ribosomal RNA". It matches the Rfam family "Bacterial small subunit ribosomal RNA", at positions 338 to 795 of the family's 1533-position model. The record is from RNAcentral.